CAGACAAUAUCAUUCUUGAAUUGUACUGAUUUAGAUUAAUUAUUUUUUAUAAAAAUAUAUCUGAAUAGACGGAUAAAUAUUUAUUUUCAUAAAAUUUUAAUAAUAAACCGCUUAGAUCUUGAUGACUGAGACGGAGGA
Molecule: non-coding RNA, 138 nt
Organism: Desulfosporosinus lacus DSM 15449
Lineage: Bacteria; Bacillati; Bacillota; Clostridia; Eubacteriales; Desulfitobacteriaceae
Source: Rfam